This 5213-nucleotide long non-coding RNA is filed under the name Canis lupus familiaris (dog). RNAcentral's name for it is "lncRNA (ENSCAFG00040025406.1)". The record is from RNAcentral. Lineage: Eukaryota; Metazoa; Chordata; Mammalia; Carnivora; Canidae.
GAGACACACAGAGAGAAGCAGAGACAUAGGCAGGGGGAGAAGCAGGCUCCCCGGAGGGAGCCCAAUGCGGGACUUGACCCCAGGACUCCAGGAUCACGCCCUGAGCCGAACGCAGAUGCUCAACCGCUGAGCCACCCAGGCGUCCCCUGGCCAGUUCUAACCAGCUGGGAAGGGUAUGUUAGCGUCCCAGGAAUACCCUUGCACUUAUUUCUUUACAAACCACAUCUGUUAACUCAUUUUAGCCUUACCGUAGCCCCAUGAAGUCGAGAGAGCAAGGGCCCAUGUUGCGGUUUGGGCCACGAAGGCCCAGAGAGAGUCAGGGCCAGCUCAGUGUCAUGGAAGCUGAGCCCAGACUAAGACAAUCAGGGAAAAAUUGUCCUUUCUUUCUCUUGCCUCCAUGCUCAUGGAUGUGAACAUGUCUCUUCCACCAGGGAAAGCCCUCCCCGGAAGCUGUGGAGUGAUGGUGUCUUGGUCAGCAGAGUUCUCUUGCUGUGAUGAGACCUACUCUUACCAAAUGGUUGCUGGAAUGCCGGAAUAUUCGAGAAUAUUCUAGAAUUUCCGGGUGUGUGUGUGUGGCCUCCAUCAGCUCCCUCCACACACACCCCCACAGGAGAGAAAGGGGUACAGCUGUGGAAACUGGCACUGCUUCCCACAUUGCCUGGAGACUAAGAUUCUAUCAGUUCAGAGAACUUGAUCCUCAUAAGAACUACACCUUUGACGGACCAAUCAGAAUUUGGGGGAAGAGAAGCAAAGACGGAGAAGUCCUGCCUUCUGCACUACGAUGCACAAAAUCAAAGUCUUUUUCUUUUUUUUAAAUCAAAGUCUUGAUUAGUAUUCAUCCAGAUGUUGAGAGCCCUGGCUGCAACCGACUCUUGCUGGGCUGAGCGGGUGGGGUGGCUUGUGGCUUGUCUGGCUCUUGUUGGCUGUGUCCCUAUGACACGCACACAGAUGAGGCUGCCUCAAGGUCCCUGCUCCCCUGCCUUGGACCCCUGCCCACCCCCACUCUUUGUGGGUUCCUUUAUGCUGGGAAAUGACCCCUUCUUGGCUCCACCCACGAGCCAAUGUCCAUGGGAAAAUUGCAGGGGAGGGCUGUUGGAAGAAACCUGUCACAUGUUUUUUUAAAAUUGUGGUAAAAAACACAAAUUUUACUCUCUUAACCACGUUUCAGUAUAGAGUUCAGGUGUGUUAACUCUAUUCAUAUUGUACAACAGAUCGCUAGAACUUUUCCACAUCUGUUGGGUUUUUAUGCUUGUCCCCGUGACCCUGCAGGCCUCGCACUGCAGACACCCAAAGGAGAGGAAAAACCCAGCACUAAUUAAUAUCCUUAAAAGAGUGGGACCUUGUUUAUGACUAAGCCAAUUCCCUGGGCCCCAAAGUUUGUGACAUGAUUUUAUUGUCUCCUAAUCAUUGGCUAUUAAAAAAAAAAAAAAAAAGGAUCUGUUGGUCACUUGGAUUCUUUGAUUUGUUUUUUCAGGCAACUCUGAACUUGAUUUCCAAAUCAUCUCCUAAUCAUGUCAUACUGAACCUUAAAAUUCACGAACUUGCAGCUAGCCCAGGGCUUAGUUCGGUGCGUAUGAGAGAUGCUUCAGGGAUGCCUGGGUGGUUCAGUGGGUUAAGUGUCUGACUCGAUUUCGGCUCAGGUCAUGAUCUCAGGGUGGUGAGAUCGAGCCCCCCACUAGCUCAGCACUGAGUGGGCAGUCUGCUUGAGAUUCUCCCCGUCUGCUCCUCCCGCUGCUCCUGCACAUGCAGGCUUUCUUUCAAAUAAAGCAAGAAGUCUUUUUAAAAAAAUGAGUCAUAAAUAUUUGAUGAGUGAAUGAGUGAUGGAAUGGAUUUUCCAUAUGAACGAGGAGGAGGAAGGAUAAAGGAGAUAAAUGUGUGUGAUUUCUAAACCUCACCUACGCCAGUGGCCUCAGUCUCUCACCAGAGAUCUUUGUCCAAGCAAAUCUUAUGGGGUGUCAGGGCAAUGGGCAGGGACAGAGGGGAGAACACAGGGCCAGGUGACCAGAGGACCCUCAUCUGGGAGGAUUCACCUUUGGAAUGAAAGGCAAGCAACUCUUUGGAAAUGGAUCAGGUGGGACGGCCUGGAGAGGAACCGAGAUGAGGGUGAGCCGGCUGGUGAGAAGGCCAGCACUGUUUAAAAGCAGCCGAAGGUCGAUCUGAAGGCUGCCUGUAGGGGUGCCUGAUGAGGAAGGAGGUUGGGUAACAGGUUCGGGCGGGGCUAGCAGGAGCUGCAAAACCUCUUGGGAGGAAGUGUUGCAGGGAGAGCAGAAAUCAACAGUGGCCUGGCUUGGGGAUCCAAAAGCAUCUGGAAAGAACUCUGGAGAUUGGGCAUUAUGAGAAAAGCAGGGAGAGGCACUAGAACAUCUGGAACAUGAGACUGUUUGGCUGUUUGGACUGAAAUAGAGCAGGAUUUGCAUGUUUAUAUGUGUCCUUUCCAAAAAUAGGAAUAGAGCCUAAAAGCAUUUGCAAGGGACCCCUAGGAUGGCAGCCUAGAAGGAAUGAGGUUUGGGCUAAGUAGCAAGAAAGCACCCCUCACUUACUCAGAGACAGUGUGUCUGCAGUGUCCUCUGAGGCUGAGGCCAAACGCGAUACAGGAAAAGGCAAAACUCUAACAUCAGCAAAUGGGUGGUGGGCACUGAGGGGGGCACUUGGCGGGAUGAGCACUGGGUGUUAGGCUAUAUGUUGGCAAAUUGAACUCAAUUAAAAAAAAUAAAUAAAAUUAAUUAAUCAUGUAUCUCACUUAAAAUAAAAAUAAAAAACAAAGACAUUAUAUUACAUACAAAUGGAUGAAAUACUCUAAAAGCAGAAACUGUCAUAUUGUAUCAAAAAAAAUUGAUGUUUUGUUUUACCAUUCUCUGCUUCACUAAGGACAAAUGGUCCAGUUCCAGUGGUAGAACAGAAGCUGUUGCUUUCCCCUUUAGAUGAAUAGGUUGUUAUCAAUGAAGUGACUCACAAGGCAAGGAAGCCUCAUUGCAUCCUUACAUCCCCCAGGAUACAGUGAAGGAGACAGGACCCAGCCAAGGAGAGGUAUUAGGGUCACACCUGCUUGCCACUGCAGUGGGGUUUCAGAGUGCACCACCGGUGAAAAAGGGUUGGAAGAACCACUGGAAAUGCACCUGCUAAAUGAAUCCACAAUAUGUGCCCAAGGGCAAAACGUGUCCUGUCCUGGGCCUCAGUUUCUUCGUCUUUGGGAUGGGGUCACUGGAGUAACCCACUAGAUCAGAAUCACCUGGCGAUCACAAACAUACACAUUCCUGGAAACCAGCCCCUGGACAUGCCAACUUGUUAGGUGGGGGUCAGGCCCUAGUAUGGAUGUCAAGAGCCAACCAACCAACCACCAAGAUAGUUUUGAUGCACAGCCAGGUUUGCAAGGGAUGACAGUAGGGUGCAGGUCCUACUCUGUACCAUGAGUUGACUUUGCUCUUUUUAUAGUCACAAAGAUGCCAGAGAUCUGUGAGCAGAGCAAACCCAAGAGUGCACUCAUACCAUCCCCCAAUUCCAUGCUCAAAUCUAACUUGCAGGCUAGUUCACAUUCCCACCCUUCCCGACAUCUCCCUCACCUUCUGGACUCCUGGCCUGUUCUUUCUCUUUCCGUCUCCCAGAACAUCCGUAACACAUCAGUUGGCUCAUGUGUGUAGAACAGCAUUAUUUGGUGUCAUCAUGCACCCUGCUGUCUCUUGAGCUGACCUUCCCAGAAGGGCACGAACCUUUGAGGGGGACCCUUGUCUGCCUCCUGCCCCAACACUGUGAUUGCUGACUUAAGUUGGGCUGCUCGGAGCUGGUGGUGGCCGGGUCAGCCAGCCGUUGUAGGACAGCUAAUCAUCACUUGGUUUGUGUCAGUGCAGCUAAGUUAGCAUCUGCGCUUCCACCCAUUCCAGGGGUCAUGGGAGACUUUAUUAAUUUUAGUCACCUUCAUGCAAAUCUCCUGUGCCCCUCUUCCUUGUGAUUUCAUUAGCCUGAAGGUCAGGGUGAGGUUCAUUCCGUGACUCACUAGAUUUCUCAAAUUGUAGGUGUUUUGGGGACCUUUUGGCUUUGAUUUGGAAAAGACUCUGCAAGAUCCACUCUCCUGGGUAACAGUCAUGCUUUUCUUACCCAUUGUUAAUUAUAUACACCCAUCCCAGGGAAAAAAAAAAAAGGAAAGGAAUUAACACUCUAAAUUAGGAACAUACAUAUGGAGAAAGGCGGGGAUGGAGUUGGGGGGUGUGGGGGGGGGGAGUAGUGCCAUAUGCCAGAUGGAGAACGCCUGCUCCUACUGUAUCAUGUUUCCUUGUUUUCCAGUCUCCUCAUCUCUGUCUUCUCCCUUGUUAUUGUUUUAUUGUCCUUUUAAAAAAAAUCACAGUAAGCACCAGUUAUUACGUUGAUAUUAUGGGGCAGGAGAAAUGCCUGCCUGAGAAAUUUUAGAGAGAGAAAUAUGCUGUAUGUCACCUCGCAUGUUUCGGACUCUACGUGCCUCUGACCCUUGCUUUGUAAAGAACUGUGCUGAAUUUUCAAGUGAUUGAGUUAGGUUUAAGUAAAAGUUUUCUAUCCAUUGACUCUGAUAAGGUGCAUUCUGGAUGUUUAUGGUGCGGAUUAAAAGCAACUGAGCUCUCUCCAAUUCAGAAGUGAGGCUUUUUCAGUUUGUUGGCAGCUCUGAAAUAGCAUGAGGCACGACUCUUCAAUCUGCACAGAUGCGCCUCUGCAGAGACUCCUUCACUGUUUUCAUUCUCACUUCUCCCUUGAACUCUCAGUAACUCCAUAGCAUAGGUCACAGUGCAAAAUAGAGUACAUCCUCCUAAGGAGAUUUUAAGGUGGGUCUCUUGUCACUUGGUAAAAUGGAUCCAUCCCUGCUCCGAGCAGCCUUUGUGGCACUGCUUUCUCUUUGUAUCCUUUUUCAGGGGAGCUGUCAUCUGCUGUGCUUUAAUUAUGUGUCCCUUAGGAUGUGUCAGGCCUUUUCCACUCUCAGGGAUUUUAAUACUUCCUCCCAGUGUACCGUGCUCAUCUGAUUUCCCCCCUAAUCUCAUGAAUCUCCUUCCACCAAAUAUUAAUCCAGUGGUGAUUAGCUUUCUCAGCGUCCACCUUUCACAACAGUGGAAUUUUUGUAUAAUGUGUUCCAUGGGAGCAGUGCCUAUAACUGCUUUGAGCAAGUCUGUGGUCGAUACUAUUAAAAAUAAUCAUCAACUAAGUGCGAUGUGGUAUCCUCAGUUGGAUGCCCUCUACUCUUUGGAAGAGACAAA